RNAcentral lists this ribosomal RNA (497 nucleotides) under uncultured bacterium. Its description in RNAcentral is "partial 16S ribosomal RNA". It matches the Rfam family "Bacterial small subunit ribosomal RNA", at positions 28 to 507 of the family's 1533-position model. The record is from RNAcentral.
GAUGAACGCUGGCGGCGUGCCUAAUACAUGCAAGUCGAGCGAACAGACGAGGAGCUUGCUCCUCUGACGUUAGCGGCGGACGGGUGAGUAACACGUGGAUAACCUACCUAUAAGACUGGGAUAACUUCGGGAAACCGGAGCUAAUACCGGAUAAUAUAUUGAACCGCAUGGUUCAAUAGUGAAAGACGGUUUUGCUGUCACUUAUAGAUGGAUCCGCGUCGCAUUAGCUAGUUGGUAAGGUAACGGCUUACCAAGGCGACGAUGCGUAGCCGACCUGAGAGGAUGAUCGGCCACACUGGAACUGAGACACGGUCCAGACUCCUACGGGAGGCAGCAGUAGGGAAUCUUCCGCAAUGGGCGAAAGCCUGACGGAGCAACGCCGCGUGAGUGAAGAAGGUCUUCGGAUCGUAAAACUCUGUUAUUAGGGAAGAACAAAUGUGUAAGUAACUAUGCACGUCUUGACGGUACCUAAUCAGAAAGCCACGGCUAACUACGUG